UAGGGCUUAUUUCAUUAGAAUAAUACAUUUUCCUUAUUCUUUAAGACUCUUGGAAGAAGGAUGUUCUUUGUGUUGGUAAGAAUGCAAGUGUGGAUUAAAUAUAAAAUGUUAGUCAUCAUUCCAGUAACUGUAGAGGUAUGGAUUACAUUAAAUCCCACUCAUAAGGCAAUUAGAACUGCCCUGGCUGGAUUUUGAGCACUUGGGGUAAGUAUUCCUAGGUGUGGGAAGUAAAGUCUCAGGAAGAGGUCUCUGGCCAUGCGUUUGACUUUUGUAGGUAAAUGUCAGGGGUGAAGCGGGCAGAGCACCUUCAGGGAAAUCAAAAUGAGAGAAUGGCAAGAUCCCAUUCACUCUUUGGGAUCUGACACGAAGCCAGAAGGAAAACCAUUUAACCUCGUGGACAGACAAAGUCCAGGGAAGAUAUAAUUUGUCAGGCUUAGGACAGUUGUUUGUGGAGGUGGACCACAGGUGUGGCCAUGACGUCACAAAGAAGGGUGAGGCCUAGGUGGACAUGAGAUCUGGGGCUCUUCAGGGGGCUGCUCCCUCCAAACCUAAAUAAUGAUUGCUGGUGACUGAGACUUCACAAUUAUUUUCUGCCAUCUUGGAAAACAUACAAAGACCCUCUGAAAGGUGGCAGAACUGAGAUGCUAACUAGUUACAGGUCCAGAGCAGGAGGAGAAUCUGGCCUGUGAUUAGAUCUGAGGUGACCUUUCUGGAGUGGAAGUUAAGGAUAAGCUGAGAGAGCACAAGCUGUGUGGGGAAGGAAGAAAGCUGCCUGUGAUCAGUGAGGACGCUAUGCCACAGCAGCAUGUAACUAGCAUCCAGGAGAGUGAGCUUCUUUCUACUGCCAUGCUCUUUGGCCAUGAUAUUUCUGGAUUGGAGUGAACUGAAUUGGACUGAAAGCUGAGAAAACCAUGAGCCAUAAUAAACCUUCCCUCCUUUAACUUGGAACAAAACAACAGAAGAUUAAAUCAAGAAGAGAAAAUGAUGCAGUCAGUAGUUGGAAUAAACACAAGAUGUGUGAAUGCAGGAAGCUGCUGCUGGCACAACAUGGCAUUUUGUCUCACGGAUGUAGCAGGUGUGUACUCUGAAGUGACAAUAAAAG
Heterocephalus glaber (naked mole-rat) is the source of this 1102-nucleotide non-coding RNA. The record is from RefSeq and is a predicted model, not a curated record. Lineage: Eukaryota; Metazoa; Chordata; Mammalia; Rodentia; Bathyergidae.